UACUAAUACGACGUGAUUAGUUAACAGUGCUGGUUGUCGGUCACAGGCUAUUAUAGACUUCUAGUGAUGUGUACCUCUCUCGUUUUCGUGCUCAGAGCCUUGCACACUAAUUUGCAUAAGGUUAGUAGUGGAUGUAACAUCAUCUGCAUUAUUUUGUUGAAUCAAUGGUGACUCGAGUCUUUGUCCACUAUCUAAAGGUCUGGGACCUCAAAUUUAUUGUUCCUUCACUAUAAUUGUGGUUGGUGGAUUACGCUCUUAUCUCAUCUUUCUCUGCAUUACAGAUAGCUGAUAGUGUUUCGUUGGCCUAAUUUGUUCCGAUUAAAGGGUAUAUCUAGAAAAAUUACUUUGUAUUCAAUCCGAAGCAGACUACUGUUAAUUUGCUUAUCUCUCAGUAACAGAGUGCUGCAGAACGAGUGGGAAAACGAAGCAUUCUGUAAGAUCUGAUAUAUUUUUCGAUACGAAUGGUUAGAUGCAAGAAUGUUCAGAUGGUAAUAUCCUUUCAUGUCUUCUUUACCUUAUUGCUACCAAACAAACUGUUAUGUACUGUACUUCAUUCCUUUCAGUUUCCUAUCAAUGGAAGAUGGCCUAAUAAGUUGCAGUUUGAAGUACUUACGUAAUUCCUUGGUUCAUGAAAGGUCUGAGAUAAUUAGUUAUUGAGUUUGGUGUAGUAGUAAUCCUAACAACUGCAAAUUGUAUAGAACUGAAUAUGUAAUUUGGAAUUGCAGUGAAGGGAAGGAUUCUGAGUGAAUGACAUGUCUUUGUGUAACAGUUGGGCACAUAGGAGGAUUUAAUUAAGGGCUACGGUCCUAAGUGUAUACGCGUCUUAUUUAGUAAAGGGCACGGGGACAGGUCCUCCUGAAUUCUUUUUUAAUGUUUUAUCGUCAUUAAUUUUUUUUUCAAAAUAUGAAAGUGUCUUCAUAAAUUUUAGAAUAUAAGAGUAUAUUUUAAAAGUUUAUUUGACAUCUCACCAGAGAUUAAAUCCUAGAUCCGUCGUGGGUGGGC
Molecule: long non-coding RNA, 1002 nt
Filed under: Daucus carota (carrot)
Lineage: Eukaryota; Viridiplantae; Streptophyta; Magnoliopsida; Apiales; Apiaceae
Description: long non-coding RNA (DCAR_LNC006556)
Source: RNAcentral